CCUUCUUGCAGCUUUUGCCUCUCAAUCUUUCUUUGCUUUUUUCUCAAAUUUUCUUUAGAAUUUCUCUCUCUUUUACACAUGACUUAUCUCUAAUUUUCACCCAAAAUCAAGUAUCUGGUCCAUAUGGGAUGCCCCAUAUAAAUAGGUGAACAUGGGAUGUGAGGAAUGACCAAGAGGCGCCAACCUUUGGCGCUCCACCUUCUCACACAGUGAAAUAAAUCAUUAUGUUUUAUUUUUGGUACAAGAGAGCCAUCACAUAGAAUGACUC
This 268-nucleotide long non-coding RNA is filed under the name Elaeis guineensis (African oil palm). RNAcentral describes it as "long non-coding RNA (EGUI_LNC032926)". Lineage: Eukaryota; Viridiplantae; Streptophyta; Magnoliopsida; Arecales; Arecaceae. The record is from RNAcentral.